AUGAACGCUGGCGGCGUGCCUAAUACAUGCAAGUCGAGCGAACGGACGAGAAGCUUGCUUCUCUGAUGUUAGCGGCGGACGGGUGAGUAACACGUGGAUAACCUACCUAUAAGACUGGGAUAACUUCGGGAAACCGGAGCUAAUACCGGAUAAUAUUUUGAACCGCAUGGUUCAAAAGUGAAGGACGGUCUUGCUGUCACUUAUAGAUGGAUCCGCGCUGCAUUAGCUAGUUGGUAAGGUAACGGCUUACCAAGGCAACGAUGCAUAGCCGACCUGAGAGGGUGAUCGGCCACACUGGAACUGAGACACGGUCCAGACUCCUACGGGAGGCAGCAGUAGGGAAUCUUCCGCAAUGGGCGAAAGCCUGACGGAGCAACGCCGCGUGAGUGAUGAAGGUCUUCGGAUCGUAAAACUCUGUUAUUAGGGAAGAACAUAUGUGUAAGUAACUGUGCACAUCUUGACGGUACCUAAUCAGAGAGCCACGGCUAACUACGUG
RNAcentral lists this ribosomal RNA (496 nucleotides) under uncultured bacterium. RNAcentral's name for it is "partial 16S ribosomal RNA". It matches the Rfam family "Bacterial small subunit ribosomal RNA", at positions 29 to 507 of the family's 1533-position model. The record is from RNAcentral.